UACAGAGGGGGCAAGCGUUGUUCGGAUUCACUGGGCGUAAAGGGUGCGUAGGCGGUCGGGUAAGUCUGACGUGAAAUCUUCAAGCUCAACUUGGAAACUGCGUCCGAUACUAUUCGGCUAGAGGAAUGGAGGGGAGACUGGAAUACUUGGUGUAGCAGUGAAAUGCGUAGAUAUCAAGUGGAACACCAGUGGCGAAGGCAGCUCGCUGGGACGGUACUGACGCUAAGGCGCGAAAGCGUGGGGAGCGAACAGG
This 253-nucleotide ribosomal RNA is filed under the name uncultured bacterium. RNAcentral describes it as "partial 16S ribosomal RNA". It matches the Rfam family "Bacterial small subunit ribosomal RNA", at positions 524 to 776 of the family's 1533-position model. The record is from RNAcentral.